GACCCCGGCCGUGACUGGCGCAGGUGGAGCACACCACCGGGGAGCGGCCGGAAGUUCCCGUCGGGGCACCGCACGCCUGGGUGCCUGGG
RNAcentral lists this non-coding RNA (89 nucleotides) under Georgenia sp. RNAcentral's name for it is "ZTP sequence". It matches the Rfam family "ZMP/ZTP riboswitch aptamer (pfl RNA motif)". Rfam says of the family: Previously known as pfl RNA. ZMP is also known as AICAR. The record is from RNAcentral. Lineage: Bacteria; Bacillati; Actinomycetota; Actinomycetes; Allobogoriellales; Allobogoriellaceae.